UUCGAUUAAAAAAGCAACCCUCAGAAAAGAAAGUAGAAGCAGUGUGCAUAUGUUUUGGUUGCAUAAAAAAGGUGUAGAUCCGAUAAAUACUACGUACAACAAUAUUAUUUAUUAUUAUUAUCCUCCAUCAUAAUAAGAAAUUAACUUCAAAAACUUUCACCCAAAAAAUUAACUUCAAAAUAUUUUUUAUUGUUGUUUAGAAUCAGUUAUAAGCUGGAACCAGAGUUUGUCCAACUCAUCGCGCAGAUGUUUAUUUAUUUAUUUUAUGGAUCACAUUUAAAACUAGUUAUAUUUAUUAGAAUGUUUUUUUUUUUUUGGUAAAAUAUUUAUUAGCUACGUUGAGUUGGCCUAGUGGUAAAGGGGUUACGGCUGUAACUACCGCCACUCGGGUUCAAUUCACGGUGGGAGGGACUAUUUACAAUGCUUGGGUUCCCGGCAAAGAGGUGAAACCACCUUUUUUAUUUAUUAGAAUGUUUUCAUGUGGUGUUGGUUACUAAUGCUGCCGUUGGCUAUUCAGAAAACCAAAAUAAAAUCGUGUGUAAUUCAUCUGCAUUUGAUAAUAUUUUUCGGUUGUCUUAUUUUAUUUUUUUAUAUGUAUCUUUGAUAUUACAAUUAAUAUUUUAAAUAAGUGGUUUAUUCAAAUCUGUU
This 648-nucleotide long non-coding RNA is filed under the name Brassica rapa (field mustard). Its description in RNAcentral is "long non-coding RNA (BRAP_LNC002933)". The record is from RNAcentral. Lineage: Eukaryota; Viridiplantae; Streptophyta; Magnoliopsida; Brassicales; Brassicaceae.